RNAcentral lists this transfer RNA (64 nucleotides) under Manniella gustavi. Its description in RNAcentral is "partial transfer RNA-Leu". Lineage: Eukaryota; Viridiplantae; Streptophyta; Magnoliopsida; Asparagales; Orchidaceae. The record is from RNAcentral.
CGCUACGGACUUGGAAAAUCCGUUGAAUUGAAAAAUCGUGAGGGUUCAAGUCCCUCUAUCCCCA